CCUACGGGGGGCAGCAGUGGGGAAUAUUGGACAAUGGGGGGAACCCUGAUCCAGCCAUACCGCGUGUGUGAAGAAGGCCUUAGGGUUGUAAAGCACUUUCAGAGGUGAGGAAAGGGUGAGUGUUAAUACCACUUAUCUGUGACGUUAGCCUCAGAAGAAGCACCGGCUAACUCUGUGCCAGCAGCCGCGGUAAUACAGAGGGUGCGAGCGUUAAUCGGAAUUACUGGGCGUAAAGCGCGCGUAGGUGGUUUGUUAAGUCUGAUGUGAAAUCCCAGGGCUCAACCUUGGAAUGGCACCGGAUACUGGCAGGCUAGAGUACGAUAGAGGAGUGUGGAAUUUCCUGUGUAGCGGUGAAAUGCGUAGAUAUAGGAAGGAACAUCAGUGGCGAAGGCGACACUCUGGAUUGAUACUGACACUGAGGUGCGAAAGCGUGGGUAGCAAACAGGAUUAGAUACCCUGGUAGUCCACGCCGUAAACGAUGUCUACUAGCCGUUGGGUUGUAAUGACUUAGUGGCGCAGCUAACGCGAUAAGUAGACCGCCUGGGGAGUACGGCCGCAAGGUUAAAACUCAAAUGAAUUGACGGGGGCCCGCACAAGCGGUGGAGCAUGUGGUUUAAUUCGAAGCAACGCGAAGAACCUUACCUACUCUUGACAUCCACAGAAUUUUUGAGAGAUCAGAAAGUGCCUUCGGGAACUGUGAGACAGGUGCUGCAUGGCUGUCGUCAGCUCGUGUUGUGAAAUGUUGGGUUAAGUCCCGUAACGAGCGCAACCCUUGUCCUUAUUUGCCAGCACUUUGGGUGGGAACUUUAAGGAGACUGCCGGUGACAAACCGGAGGAAGGUGGGGACGACGUCAAGUCAUCAUGGCCCUUACGAGUAGGGCUACACACGUGCUACAAUGGCGUAUACAGAGGGUUGCGAACUUGCGAGAGUAAGCGAAUCCCAUAAAGUGCGUCGUAGUCCGGAUUGGAGUCUGCAACUCGACUCCAUGAAGUCGGAAUCGCUAGUAAUCGUGAAUCAGAAUGUCACGGUGAAUACGUUCCCGGGCCUUGUACACACCGCCCGUC
RNAcentral lists this ribosomal RNA (1065 nucleotides) under uncultured Gammaproteobacteria bacterium. Its description in RNAcentral is "bacterial SSU rRNA". It matches the Rfam family "Bacterial small subunit ribosomal RNA", at positions 338 to 1398 of the family's 1533-position model. Lineage: Bacteria; Pseudomonadati; Pseudomonadota; Gammaproteobacteria. The record is from RNAcentral.